Molecule: signal recognition particle RNA, 97 nt
Filed under: Rhodospirillaceae bacterium
Lineage: Bacteria; Pseudomonadati; Pseudomonadota; Alphaproteobacteria; Rhodospirillales; Rhodospirillaceae
Also listed under: 1 other name
Description: signal recognition particle sRNA small type
Rfam family: Bacterial small signal recognition particle RNA
About the family: The signal recognition particle (SRP) is a universally conserved ribonucleoprotein involved in the co-translational targeting of proteins to membranes. Archaeal SRP consists of a 7S RNA and homologues of the eukaryotic SRP19 and SRP54 proteins. In most bacteria, the SRP consists of a 4.5S RNA and the Ffh protein (a homologue of the eukaryotic SRP54 protein).
Source: RNAcentral
GGAGGCUGGCGGCGGACGGGUCGCCGGCUAAUCCGGUCAGGUCCGGAAGGAAGCAGCCGUAACCGGUCUGACUCGGGUCGUUCGUUCAGCCUCCCAC